Molecule: ribosomal RNA, 433 nt
Filed under: uncultured bacterium
Lineage: Bacteria
Description: partial 16S ribosomal RNA
Rfam family: Bacterial small subunit ribosomal RNA
Source: RNAcentral
AACGAACGCUGGCGGCAUGCCUAACACAUGCAAGUCGAACGAGACCUUCGGGUCUAGUGGCGCACGGGUGCGUAACGCGUGGGAACCUGCCCUUAGGUUCGGAAUAACUCCCCGAAAGGGGUGCUAAUACCGGAUAAUGUCUUCGGACCAAAGAUUUAUCGCCUUUGGAUGGGCCCGCGUUGGAUUAGCUAGUUGGUAGGGUAAAAGCCUACCAAGGCGACGAUCCAUAGCUGGUCGGAGAGGAUGAUCAGCCACACUGGGACUGAGACACGGCCCAGACUCCUACGGGAGGCAGGAGUGGGGAAUAUUGGACGAUGGGCGAAAGCCUGAUCCAGCAAUGCCGCGUGAGUGAUGAAGGCCUUAGGGUUGUAAAGCUCUUUUACCCGGGAUGAUAAUGACAGUACCGGGAGAAUAAGCUCCGGCUAACUCCGUG